GAUGAACGCUGGCGGCGUGCCUAAUACAUGCAAGUCGAGCGAACAGACGAGGAGCUUGCUCCUCUGACGUUAGCGGCGGACGGGUGAGUAACACGUGGAUAACCUACCUAUAAGACUGGGAUAACUUCGGGAAACCGGAGCUAAUACCGGAUAAUAUAUUGAACCGCAUGGUUCAAUAGUGAAAGACGGUUUUGCUGUCACUUAUAGAUGGAUCCGCGCCGCAUUAGCUAGUUGGUAAGGUAACGGCUUACCAAGGCAACGAUGCGUAGCCGACCUGAGAGGGGGAUCGGCGACACUGGAACGGAGACACGGACAAGAGUCCUACGGGAGGCAGCAGAAGGGAAUGGGACGCAAUGGGCGAAAGCAUGACGGAGCAAGGCGGCGUGAGUGAUGAAGGUCUUCGGAUCGUAAAACUCUGUUAUUAGGGAAGAACAAAUGUGUAAGUAACUAUGCACGUCUUGACGGUAACUAAUCAGAAAGCCACGGCUAACUACGUG
This 497-nucleotide ribosomal RNA is filed under the name uncultured bacterium. RNAcentral's name for it is "partial 16S ribosomal RNA". It matches the Rfam family "Bacterial small subunit ribosomal RNA", at positions 28 to 507 of the family's 1533-position model. The record is from RNAcentral.